RNAcentral lists this ribosomal RNA (253 nucleotides) under uncultured Bacteroidales bacterium. RNAcentral describes it as "partial 16S ribosomal RNA". It matches the Rfam family "Bacterial small subunit ribosomal RNA", at positions 524 to 776 of the family's 1533-position model. Lineage: Bacteria; Pseudomonadati; Bacteroidota; Bacteroidia; Bacteroidales. The record is from RNAcentral.
UACGGAGGAUGCGAGCGUUAUCCGGAUUUAUUGGGUUUAAAGGGUGCGUAGGCGGCCUUUUAAGUCAGCGGUGAAAGUCUGUGGCUCAACCAUAGAAUUGCCGUUGAAACUGGGGGGCUUGAGUGGGCGAGAAGUACGCGGAAUGCGUGGUGUAGCGGUGAAAUGCAUAGAUAUCACGCAGAACUCCGAUUGCGAAGGCAGCGUACCGGCGCCCAACUGACGCUGAAGCACGAAGGCGUGGGUAUCGAACAGG